UGGGGAAUAUUGCACAAUGGGCGCAAGCCUGAUGCAGCCAUGCCGCGUGUGUGAAGAAGGCCUUCGGGUUGUAAAGCACUUUCAGCGAGGAGGAAGGUGGUGAGCUUAAUACGCUCAUCAAUUGACGUUACUCGCAGAAGAAGCACCGGCUAACUCCGUGCCAGCAGCCGCGGUAAUACGGAGGGUGCAAGCGUUAAUCGGAAUUACUGGGCGUAAAGCGCACGCAGGCGGUUUGUUAAGUCAGAUGUGAAAUCCCCGGGCUCAACCUGGGAACUGCAUUUGAAACUGGCAAGCUAGAGUCUCGUAGAGGGGGGUAGAAUUCCAGGUGUAGCGGUGAAAUGCGUAGAGAUCUGGAGGAAUACCGGUGGCGAAGGCGGCCCCCUGGACGAAGACUGACGCUCAGGUGCGAAAGCGUGGGGCAGCAAACAGGAUUAGAUACCCUGGUAGUCCACGCUGUAAACGAUGUCGAUUUUGGAGGUUGUGCCCUUGAGGCGUGGCUUCCGGAGCUAACGCGUUAAAUCGACCGCCUGGGGAGUACGGCCGCAAGGUUAAAACUCAAAGGAAUUGACGGGGUCAUAGCUG
Molecule: ribosomal RNA, 582 nt
Filed under: uncultured bacterium
Lineage: Bacteria
Description: partial 16S ribosomal RNA
Rfam family: Bacterial small subunit ribosomal RNA
Source: RNAcentral